GACGAACGCUGGCGGCGUGCUUAACACGUGCAAGUCGAACGAUGAAGCCGGAGCUUGCUCUGGUGAAUUAGUGGCGAACGGGUGAGUAACACGUGAGUAACCUGCCCUUGACUCUGGGAUAACUGCGGGAAACUGUAGCUAAUACCGGAUACGACCCUCGGAGGCAUCUCCUGGGGGUGGAAAGAAUUUCGGUCAAGGAUGGACUCGCGGCCUAUCAGCUAGUUGGUGAGGUAAAGGCUCACCAAGGCGACGACGGGUAGCCGGCCUGAGAGGGUGACCGGCCACACGGGGACUGAGACACGGCCCAGACUCCUACGGGAGGCAGCAGUGGGGAAUAUUGCACAAUGGGCGCAAGCCUGAUACAGCAACGCCGCGUGAGGGAUGACGGCCUUCGGGUUGUAAACCUCUUUUAGCAGGGAAGAAGCGAAAGUGACGGUACCUGCAGAAAAAGCACCGGCUAACUACGUGCCAGCCGCCGCGGUAA
RNAcentral lists this ribosomal RNA (484 nucleotides) under uncultured bacterium. RNAcentral describes it as "partial 16S ribosomal RNA". It matches the Rfam family "Bacterial small subunit ribosomal RNA", at positions 28 to 523 of the family's 1533-position model. The record is from RNAcentral.